GUAACGCAUCGGAACGUGUCCCGUAGUGGGGGAUAACCCAUCGAAAGAUGGGCUAAUACCGCAUACGACCUGAGGGAGAAAGCCGGGGAUCGCAAGACCUGGCGCUAUGGGAGCGGCCGAUGUCCGAUUAGCUAGUUGGUGGGGUAAAAGCCCACCAAGGCGACGAUCGGUAGCUGGUCUGAGAGGAUGAUCAGCCACACUGGGACUGAGACACGGCCCAGACUCCUACGGGAGGCAGCAGUGGGGAAUUUUGGACAAUGGGGGAAACCCUGAUCCAGCCAUGCCGCGUGAGUGAAGAAGGCCUUCGGGUUGUAAAGCUCUUUCGGCCGGAACGAAAUCGCAUUCUUUAACAGAGGGUGUGGAUGACGGUACCGGAAGAAGAAGCACCGGCUAACUACGUGCCAGCAGCCGCGGUAAUACGUAGGGUGCGAGCGUUAAUCGGAAUUACUGGGCGUAAAGCGUGCGCAGGCGGUUACAUAAGCCAGAUGUGAAAUCCCCGGGCUUAACCUGGGAACUGCAUUUGGGACUGUGUGGCUUGAGUAUGGCAGAGGGAGGUGGAAUUCCACGUGUAGCAGUGAAAUGCGUAGAGAUGUGGAGGAACACCGAUGGCGAAGGCAGCCUCCUGGGCCAAUACUGACGCUCAUGCA
RNAcentral lists this ribosomal RNA (647 nucleotides) under uncultured bacterium. RNAcentral's name for it is "bacterial SSU rRNA". It matches the Rfam family "Bacterial small subunit ribosomal RNA", at positions 110 to 753 of the family's 1533-position model. The record is from RNAcentral.